CCAGCGACACGUAUCAAUUUGCUCAAGGUCAUUGAAAUCUUCACAACAAGAACAAUAGCCGGUCCCAUGGUUCUUGCAACGGUCACAUUAAAUUAAAUUUUUUCUAAAUAAUUUUGUUUUUCUUUAACACAAUAUUCGUAUAAUAAUUUCACAGUUACAACCUUUUUUAAAUAAUGUUGAAUUACAUUGGUGAAACAACAAUGCAGCGGGAGCGACAACAUCUGAACAGCAUUCAAAAAACCAAUGCAAAACUAGAGAAAUGUUUCUCUGGCACACUCACUGACGGAACGGAUUUGCGAUGAUGGGAAUGGACAAAAGCAUGGUAUGGUAAAUCUCAAUCACACAUCAAAUCAAAUUCAAAUAAGUCACGAUUUUAUUGAUUUUGUAUAUACCUCAUGAAGAAUUUUGAAUUCGAAACAGGUCGUACAUAACAAGUAAAUCAAUACUCCAGGCUAAGCAUUUAUUUAUUUAUU
This is a long non-coding RNA of Sipha flava (yellow sugarcane aphid), 473 nucleotides long. RefSeq lists it as uncharacterized. The record is from RefSeq and is a predicted model, not a curated record. The transcript is spliced from 3 exons. NCBI's taxonomy places the organism in Eukaryota, Metazoa, Arthropoda, Insecta, Hemiptera, Aphididae.